CAGGCAGAGGCUGCAGAUCUAGACAGGUGAAGGGAGAAGGAGGGACAGAAAAAACGACACGGAGAGAACAAGAAACAGUGUGACCUCCUGGUUCUACAGCCUUCGGACUCUGCACCACCCUGAAGACACACCUUGCAUGAGCCCUAGCUCAGGCAAACA
RNAcentral lists this long non-coding RNA (159 nucleotides) under Junco hyemalis (dark-eyed junco). Its description in RNAcentral is "lncRNA (ENSJHYG00000013349.1)". The record is from RNAcentral. Lineage: Eukaryota; Metazoa; Chordata; Aves; Passeriformes; Passerellidae.